UAAGAAAAUUAAAAUUUUUAUUAAUUUUAAUUUUAAUUUUAUUUUAAUUAUUAAAAUUAUUUAUUAAUUUUAUAUUUGUAUAUAUAAAUAUUUAUUUUUAAAAAUUUUAAUUAAUUUAAUAUAUAAAAUUAUUUAAAUAUUUUAUAUUUAAUAUAAAUAUUUUUAAUAUUAAUAAAUUUUAAGUGCCAGCAAUAGCGGUUAAACUUUUAAUAUAAAUUAAUUUUUUAUAUUAAUUAUUAAUUAUAAUAUAAUUAAUAAAUUAAAAAUUAUAUUUAAUGAUAAAAUAAAAAAUAUAAAAAUUGUUAUUAAAAAUUAAAAAUUAAUAAAAUUAAAUAAUAAAUUAGGAUUAGAUACCCUAUUAUUUUAAAAUUAAAUUAAAUUAAUUAAUUAGUAAAAUAAUUAAAAAAUUGAAAAUUAAAAUUUAUGGCAGUAUUUUAAUCUAUUUAGAGGAACUUGUAGUUUAAAUUGAUAAUCCACAAAAAGAUUUACUAAUAAAUAAAAUAUUUAUGUAUGUUCGUUAAAAAUUUUUUUAAAAAAAAAUUUUAAUUUUUAAAAUAAAUUUAUUUCAGAUCAAUAUUUAAUUAUUUUAUUAGAAUUAUAUGAGUUACAUUAAAAUAUAUUUUUAGUUUAUUAAAUUUAAGUUUAAUAAUAAAUUGGAUUUAAUAGUAAAUUUAAUUAAUUAAUUAAAUUAAAUAAGUUUUAAAAUAUGUACAAAUUGCCCGUCAUUUUUAUUAAUUUAAAUAAAACAAGUCGUAACAAAGUAAAUAUACUGGAAAGUGUAUUUA
This 785-nucleotide ribosomal RNA is filed under the name Pseudoligosita yasumatsui. RNAcentral's name for it is "12S ribosomal RNA". Lineage: Eukaryota; Metazoa; Arthropoda; Insecta; Hymenoptera; Trichogrammatidae. The record is from RNAcentral.